GACGAACGCUGGCGGCGCGCCUAAUGCAUGCAAGUCGAACGAGGAUUAGCCUUCGGGCGAAAUCCUAGUGGCAGACGGCUGAGUAACGCGUGAGUGACCUGCCCUUGAGAGGGGGAUAACACCGGGAAACCGGUGCUAAUACCCCGUACGCUCUCCGGUGUAAAGGCCGGAGAGGAAAUGAAUUUCGCUCGAGGAGGGGCUCGCGUCCUAUCAGGUAGUUGGUGAGGUAACGGCUCACCAAGCCGAAGACGGGUACCUGGUGUGAGAGCACGACCAGGCAGAGGGGGACUGAGACACGGCCCCCACUCCUACGGGAGGCAGCAGCAGGGAAUCUUCCACAAUGGGCGAAAGCCUGAUGGAGCGACGCCGCGUGGGGGAGUGAAGGUUUUCGGAUCGUAAACCCCUUUUCUCAGGGAAGAGUAAGGACGGUACCUGAGGAAUAAGCAUCGGCUAACUACGUGCCAGCAGCCGCGGUAAUACGUAGGAUGCUAGCGUUGUCCGGAAUCACUGGGCGUAAAGGGUCCGGUA
Molecule: ribosomal RNA, 528 nt
Filed under: uncultured bacterium
Lineage: Bacteria
Description: bacterial SSU rRNA
Rfam family: Bacterial small subunit ribosomal RNA
Source: RNAcentral